Molecule: long non-coding RNA, 586 nt
Organism: Leucoraja erinaceus (little skate)
Lineage: Eukaryota; Metazoa; Chordata; Chondrichthyes; Rajiformes; Rajidae
Exons: 2
Source: RefSeq, a predicted model, not a curated record
CACAGCGAGGUUCACAGUCGAUAUGGGGCAGUGAAUGAAGCCUAGUGAAGCCGUCGAGCAAUAGUCAAGGGAGCAUUCUUUUUCAUCCUGAUUCCCUUGACAUUGAUCAGGUUCCCAAUGCACCUGCUACACACCACCCAGACUUUCCUGCACACUGCUGCUUUCUCAACAACAGAAUUGGCAAUGACCUGCACAAUCAGAGGCAUCAUGAAAUUAUUUUCUUACAUACAGUCUAGUUAAACAUUGCCACACUGAAGCAUCGGGCAAAAGGUAUAGAAGUGUGAAAACGCACACCUCCGGAUUCAGGGACAGUUUCUUCUCAGCCUGAACCAUCCUACCACAACUAGAGAGCAGUCCUGAACUACUAUCUACCUCAUUGGGGAGCCUAGGACUAUCGUUGAUCGGACUUUACUGGCUUUAUCUUGCAUUAAAUGUUAUUCCCUAUCAUGUAUCUGUACACUGUGAAUGGCUGGAUUGUAAUCAUGUAUUGUCUAUCCACUGGCUGGUUAGCAUGCAACAAAAGCUUUUCACUGUACUUUGGUUCACAUGACAAUAAACUAAACUAAACCAAACUGAAACUAAACAA